RNAcentral lists this ribosomal RNA (440 nucleotides) under uncultured bacterium. Its description in RNAcentral is "partial 16S ribosomal RNA". It matches the Rfam family "Bacterial small subunit ribosomal RNA", at positions 338 to 795 of the family's 1533-position model. The record is from RNAcentral.
CCUACGGGAGGCAGCAGUGGGGAAUAUUGCACAAUGGGGGAAACCCUGAUGCAGCGACGCCGCGUGAGUGAAGAAGUAUUUCGGUACGUAAAGCUCUAUCAGCAGGGAAGAAAAUGACGGUACCUGACUAAGAAGCCCCGGCUAACUACGUGCCAGCAGCCGCGGUAAUACGUAGGGGGCAAGCGUUAUCCGGAUUUACUGGGUGUAAAGGGAGCGUAGACGGCAGCGCAAGUCUGGAGUGAAAUCCCAUGGCUUAACCAUGGGACUGCUUUGGAAACUGUGCAGCUAGAGUGCAGGAGAGGUAAGCGGAAUUCCUAGUGUAGCGGUGAAAUGCGUAGAUAUUAGGAGGAACACCAGUGGCGAAGGCGGCUUACUGGACUGUAACUGACGUUGAGGCUCGAAAGCGUGGGGAGCAAACAGGAUUAGAUACCCCGGUAGUC